AAUAUACUCCCUCCGUCCGAAAAUACUUGUCUUAUAAAUGAUUGUAUCUAUACUUAUUUUAAUUAUAGACGCAUCCAUUUUAUCCAUUUAUAGGAUAAGUAUUUCCGGACGAAGAGAGUAUUAU
Non-coding RNA from Triticum aestivum (bread wheat), 124 nucleotides. Lineage: Eukaryota; Viridiplantae; Streptophyta; Magnoliopsida; Poales; Poaceae. The record is from Rfam.